RNAcentral lists this long non-coding RNA (239 nucleotides) under Brassica napus (rape). Its description in RNAcentral is "long non-coding RNA (BNAP_LNC011904)". Lineage: Eukaryota; Viridiplantae; Streptophyta; Magnoliopsida; Brassicales; Brassicaceae. The record is from RNAcentral.
GGCGAGCACCUUACCAGAGCGACCAGCUGGGAGCGACACCGUCAAGUCGCUCUGAUCUCCCUAUCAGAGCGACCUUACUAGAGCGACAGGGAAGAGUCGCUCGCGUAUUGAUCACCCGGAGACAACGAAUCCGGAGCGACCUCUCGAAGCGACACAGCGAGGUCGCUCCCGAAUCCUGAGAGUGAAAGAUGAACACGGAUGAAAGCCUUAAAGAUCUUUUCUGAAGCUGAAAAUUUGUG